RNAcentral lists this ribosomal RNA (1523 nucleotides) under uncultured bacterium. Its description in RNAcentral is "bacterial SSU rRNA". It matches the Rfam family "Bacterial small subunit ribosomal RNA". The record is from RNAcentral.
AGAGUUUGAUCCUGGCUCAGGAUGAACGCUGGCGGCGUGCUUAACACAUGCAAGUCGAACGGAACUGCAUAUGAAGAUUUACUUCGGUAAUGAUUCGCUUGUAGUUUAGUGGCGGACGGGUGAGUAACGCGUGAGUAACCUGCCCUUGAGAGGGGGAUAACGUUCUGAAAAGGACGCUAAUACCGCAUAAUACUAUUGAAUCGCAUGGUUUAAUAGUCAAAACUGAGGUGCUCAGGGAUGGACUCGCGUCCGAUUAGAUAGUUGGUGAGGUAACGGCUCACCAAGUCGACGAUCGGUAGCCGGACUGAGAGGUUGAACGGCCACAUUGGGACUGAGACACGGCCCAGACUCCUACGGGAGGCAGCAGUGGGGGAUAUUGCGCAAUGGGGGAAACCCUGACGCAGCAACGCCGCGUGGAUGAAGACGGUUUUCGGAUUGUAAAGUCCUUUUCUUAGGGACGAAUUCUGACGGUACCUAAGGAAUAAGCUCCGGCUAACUACGUGCCAGCAGCCGCGGUAAUACGUAGGGAGCAAGCGUUAUCCGGAUUUACUGGGUGUAAAGGGUGCGUAGGCGGCCCUGUAAGUCAGAUGUGAAAUUUAGAGGCUCAACCUCUAAACUGCAUUUGAAACUAUAGGGCUUGAGUGAAGUAGAGGCAGGCGGAAUUCCCUGUGUAGCGGUGAAAUGCGUAGAGAUAGGGAGGAACACCAGUGGCGAAGGCGGCCUGCUGGGCUUUAACUGACGCUGAGGCACGAAAGCGUGGGUAGCAAACAGGAUUAGAUACCCUGGUAGUCCACGCUGUAAACGAUGAUUACUAGGUGUGGGGGGUCUGACCCCUUCCGUGCCGCAGUUAACACAAUAAGUAAUCCACCUGGGGAGUACGACCGCAAGGUUGAAACUCAAAGGAAUUGACGGGGGCCCGCACAAGCAGUGGAGUAUGUGGUUUAAUUCGAAGCAACGCGAAGAACCUUACCAGGUCUUGACAUCCUAAGGAUCUGCCAGAGAUGGCGGAGUGCCCUUCGGGGAAUUUAGAGACAGGUGGUGCAUGGUUGUCGUCAGCUCGUGUCGUGAGAUGUUGGGUUAAGUCCCGCAACGAGCGCAACCCUUACUGUUAGUUGCUACGCAAGAGCACUCUAGCAGGACUGCCGUUGACAAAACGGAGGAAGGUGGGGAUGACGUCAAAUCAUCAUGCCCCUUAUGACCUGGGCUACACACGUACUACAAUGGCCGUCAACAGAGGGCAGCGAAAUAGUGAUAUGGAGCAAAUCCCUAAAAACGGUCUCAGUUCAGACUGCAGGCUGCAACUCGCCUGCACGAAGGUGGAAUUGCUAGUAAUCGCGGAUCAGCAUGUCGCGGUGAAUACGUUCCCGGGCCUUGUACACACCGCCCGUCACACCAUGGGAGCCGGUAAUACCCGAAGUCGGUAGUCUAACCGCAAGGAGGACGCCGCCGAAGGUAGGAUUGGCGACUGGGGUGAAGUCGUAACAAGGUAGCCGUAUCGGAAGGUGCGGCUGGAUCACCUCCUU